This 253-nucleotide ribosomal RNA is filed under the name uncultured bacterium. RNAcentral describes it as "partial 16S ribosomal RNA". It matches the Rfam family "Bacterial small subunit ribosomal RNA", at positions 524 to 776 of the family's 1533-position model. The record is from RNAcentral.
UACGUAGGGGGCGAGCGUUGUCCGGAGUUACUGGGCGUAAAGCGUGCGCAGGCGGCUUUGCAAGACAGAUGUGAAAUCCCCGGGCUUAACCUGGGAACUGCAUUUGUGACUGCAUGGCUGGAGUGCGGCAGAGGGGGAUGGAAUUCCGCGUGUAGCAGUGAAAUGCGUAGAUAUGCGGAGGAACACCGAUGGCGAAGGCAAUCCCCUGGGCCUGCACUGACGCUCAUGCACGAAAGCGUGGGGAGCAAACAGG